Molecule: unclassified non-coding RNA, 404 nt
Filed under: soil metagenome
Description: partial contains 5.8S ribosomal RNA, internal transcribed spacer 2, and large subunit ribosomal RNA
Rfam family: 5.8S ribosomal RNA (bases 1-122)
Source: RNAcentral
GAUGAAUAACGUAGCAAAAUGCGAUACUUGGUGUGAAUUGCAGAAUCCCGUGAACCAUCGAGUUUUUGAACGCAAGUUGCGCCCGAAGCCUUUUGGCCGAGGGCACGUCUGCCUGGGCGUCACGCAUCGCGUCGCCCCCCACAAUUCUCCGUAAAGGGAACGUGUGUUUUGGGGGCGGAUAUUGGUCUCCCGUGCUCAUGGCGUGGUUGGCCGAAAUAGGAGUCCUUUCGAUGGACGCACGAACUAGUGGUGGUCGUAAAAACCCUCGUCUUUUGUUUCGUGCUGUUGCUCGCAAGGUAAACUCUUUAAAAACCCCAAUGUGUCGUCUCUUGACGACGCUUCGACCGCGACCCCAGGUCAGGCGGGACUACCCGCUGAGUUUAAGCAUAUCAAUAAGCGGAGGA